Molecule: long non-coding RNA, 1660 nt
Organism: Diorhabda sublineata
Lineage: Eukaryota; Metazoa; Arthropoda; Insecta; Coleoptera; Chrysomelidae
Exons: 2
Source: RefSeq, a predicted model, not a curated record
AUGUAGACAUUUUGCCAGCGUUGCCUAGAUCUAUGAUGCAAGUUACAAGUGGUUAAAAACAAAAUUUUGACGCCUUUUAACCGGUAUGUUGUUUUUUACGUGCGAUGAACUACAUAAACAGAUGAAAUAUUGUGCCAACGAAAGUUCGGGCGGUUCAAAAUCAUUGUGUAGUGUCGGAUUAUGUAGUUAAAGUGCAAUUUUUUAAACUAGUGCCUGUUUUUUCGUGUUUAUGUGUUUAUUUUUGGAGUUUAUUAAACAAUUGUGUAUCUCAACAGAGUUUUAAAAAAAAUCUUGUAGUGUUCCGGUUCGUGUAGUGUAAUUUAUCGAUAUUUUAUUAUGAAUUGUGAUGUAAGUGUUUUAAUCUCGGUGUAAUAUCCGUUUGUUUGUUUAAAACGUUUAGUGAAAAUGACUACGCGCGGAAGAAAGAAAAGUAAACAAGAAAAAGAUGGAUUUAUGAAAAAGGUCUCGUCUCUUUUUAAUCUGGACGUGGUAAGUAAUUUCACAUACUAUUUUAGGCUCACUUACUAAUAUGCAAUUGCAUUUUAAAGCACUAGAUGUUAGUUAUAAAGCGUGUUCCGAGACUUGAUGCAAAAAAUUGGGGAGUGAAUAGUUGAUUAACCGACCCCAAAACGUAAACAUCGGUUGCGUUAUUGGAGCGUUUGUAGACAAGCUAAAGAACCGUGUCACAUAUCAAUGAAAACGAUGGCUAAAUUGAUUUGGGCUCCCUAAUUGCUUCAGCCACAAUUUUCUACGUAUCUGGUUUUCAGCGUCUUUUGUCUUUUCUCAGACGUCAAGAGAAAGUUCGCUGGAUAUAAAUUUUAUGUCGAUUAAAAGACGUUAUCCUCGAGACUGAGACGCUAAAGACAAAUUAUACUAAAAAAAUUGUACCUAAUAAUCUCUAAUAUAGUUAUAUCGCCUUCGAAUAUUGAAUAAUGAAAUCAGAUUCAACAAAAAAAUAUUAUAAUAGACCACUUUUUAGCCCACCUGUUAGUCACGUUUUUUAUAUAAUAAGUUUUUUAUACAGUACAGUACAGUACAGUAGUUUAUACAGAGUGUUCCGGGACUUGGGCAAAAAAUUCGGGAGAGACUAGAUGACGUGAAAAUAAUGCUGUGACAUAAAAAAAAUUCUCAUUCGUUAUAGGUUUUUAAACUUGCGAAAUCAGAACUUAUGUUUAAGUAAAUUUUCUAAAUGAUUAGUAAACAUAUUUAAUUCAAUAAAAUUUAUGGUUCAGGAGAUAUGUAGAUUUUUAGAUCGUUGUACAUGCCAAGAAAACCGUUCGCCAUAAAGAAACAUUGUGAAGAAAAUUAUCAUAAAUUGUAAUUAUUUACAGAAAAUACUUACAGAAGGUAUUAAAACAAAAUCAAACAUUUCUAAUUGAACUGCGUACUAUCGAACAUCGUGUUACUUGAAUACAUUUAAUAUUUAUAUAGAGAUACAUUUUUUUGCAUUGUCGAAUCAUAUUUAAAGGGAAGUAGCCAAUAUGUUAAAUUGGGUAACACAUGUAGCACAAAGUUACAUAAUAAUUACGGAGUACCACAAGGUUCAGUCCUUGGACCGCUGUUUUAAUUUUUGUAUAUUUUUAACUUACAAUUUGCUAACCUUAAAGGACAGUACCACACAUUUGUAGAUGAUACAUUAUUAGUGAAAAUGAAAAAGAAA